UACGUAGGUGGCAAGCGUUGUCCGGAUUUAUUGGGUUUAAAGGGUGCGUAGGCGGCCUUGUAAGUCAGUGGUGAAAUAUGGCAGCUCAACUGUCAAGGUGCCAUUGAUACUGCGGAGCUUGAGUACAGAUGAGGUAGGCGGAAUUGACGGUGUAGCGGUGAAAUGCUUAGAUAUCGUCAAGAACACCUAUAGCGAAGGCAGCUUACUAGGCUGUAACUGACGCUGAGGCACGAAAGUGUGGGGAUCAAACAGG
RNAcentral lists this ribosomal RNA (253 nucleotides) under uncultured bacterium. RNAcentral describes it as "partial 16S ribosomal RNA". It matches the Rfam family "Bacterial small subunit ribosomal RNA", at positions 524 to 776 of the family's 1533-position model. The record is from RNAcentral.